UAGACCAGUUAUGAGAAUCUGUCACGAAUCAAUGAUUAUGAUAAAUCUAAUUCUGUCUACCGGAGAGGUUUAAA
RNAcentral lists this small nucleolar RNA (74 nucleotides) under Otolemur garnettii (small-eared galago). Its description in RNAcentral is "Small nucleolar RNA SNORD112 (ENSOGAG00000025027.1)". The record is from RNAcentral. Lineage: Eukaryota; Metazoa; Chordata; Mammalia; Primates; Galagidae.